GAUGAACGCUGGCGGCGUGCCUAACACAUGCAAGUCGAACGGGAAUAGGAUGAAACCUAGUGAUUCCUAUUCUAGUGGCGGACGGGUGAGUAACGCGUGGGUAACCUGCCUUGCACUGGGGGAUAACACUUAGAAAUAGGUGCUAAUACCGCAUAAGCGCACAGAACCGCAUGGUUCGGUGUGAAAAACUCCGGUGGUGUAAGAGGGACCCGCGUCUGAUUAGCUGGUUGGUGAGGUAACGGCUCACCAAGGCAACGAUCAGUAGCCGGCCUGAGAGGGUGAACGGCCACAUUGGGACUGAGACACGGCCCAA
Molecule: ribosomal RNA, 313 nt
Filed under: uncultured bacterium
Lineage: Bacteria
Description: bacterial SSU rRNA
Rfam family: Bacterial small subunit ribosomal RNA
Source: RNAcentral